Dermochelys coriacea (leatherback sea turtle) is the source of this 710-nucleotide long non-coding RNA. RefSeq lists it as uncharacterized. NCBI's taxonomy places the organism in Eukaryota, Metazoa, Chordata, Testudines, Dermochelyidae. The transcript is spliced from 3 exons. The record is from RefSeq and is a predicted model, not a curated record.
CUUCACUGAUUGGGGAAGCAGCCACAACUGGGUCCAGCCCCAUCAGGACUCAGCUGGCCCUGAUAAGAGGGCUGUGGGCAAGGAGAGUCUCACUCUAGCUCUGGAGGGGGAAGCGCUAGCUUCCUAAGAGGAAGUGCCUAGCAGCAGGUGAGACGUUAGCCUGGAGAGGGAGCUCCAUAUGCUGGAAAGCUAAUUCCCAGGAUGACCAGCAGGAGAUGCCACACCGGUACCUGAGGGAGCUGCAGGAGGAGGCCGAGAAGAGGAUACCCUGGUAUCACAGACUCUCAUGGACUGAUGUGGCUCAGUAUAAUUGCCAUCACUACUGAUACCCCCCCUAUGUAGAUCAGUGUUUCUGGUGCUGGGCCACAAGCACAGACUGGUGGAUCACAUUAUCAUGCAGCCCUGGGAUGACCAGUAGCAGGUCCAGAACUUUUGCAUGACGAAAUUUACAUUUCUGGAGCUCUGUGAGCAACGUACCUUCAGCAUUAAAGAGACACAUCUGAGUUCUCCUUUGCCAGUCCAGAAGGUGAUUGCUAUAACUGUCUAGAAGCAGGCUAUGGACUGCUACAGGUCUGUUGCCAACCAGUCUGGGGUUGGAAAGUUGACUGUGGGUACAGUGGUGGCAGAGGUUUCGAAGGCAAUCUAGUGUGUGGUUUACCCCAAGGUGGCGGGCAUGAAAGAUACUCUGGAGAUAAUUGCUGGCUUUGAGA